RNAcentral lists this ribosomal RNA (230 nucleotides) under uncultured bacterium. RNAcentral's name for it is "partial 16S ribosomal RNA". It matches the Rfam family "Bacterial small subunit ribosomal RNA", at positions 28 to 267 of the family's 1533-position model. The record is from RNAcentral.
GACGAACGCUGGCGGCGUGCUUAACACAUGCAAGUCGCACGGGCAGUUUCGGCUGUCAGUGGCGGACGGGUGAGUAACGCGUAGGUAUCUAUCCGUUGGGUGGGGGACAACCGUGGGAAACUACGGCUAAUACCGCAUGAUGACUUGGGCUGUGGUGGCCUGGGUCCAAAGGCGCAAGUCGCCGUGGGGAGAGCCUGCGUACGAUUAGCUAGUUGGUGGGGUAAAGCCUA